RNAcentral lists this ribosomal RNA (254 nucleotides) under uncultured bacterium. Its description in RNAcentral is "partial 16S ribosomal RNA". It matches the Rfam family "Bacterial small subunit ribosomal RNA", at positions 524 to 776 of the family's 1533-position model. The record is from RNAcentral.
UACGAAGGGUGCAAGCGUUACUCGGAAUUACUGGGCGUAAAGCGUGCGUAGGUGGUGAGUUAAGUCUGUCGUGAAAGCCCCGGGCUCAACCUGGGAAUGGCAAUGGAUACUGGCAGGCUAGAGUGCGGUAGAGGGUAGUGGAAUUCCCGGUGUAGCGGUGAAAUGCGUAGAGAUCGGGAGGAACACCAGUGGCGAAGGCGGCUACCUGGACCAGCACUGACACUGAGGCACGGAAAGCGUGGGGAGCAAACAGG